UUCGUAGGUGGCAAGCGUUGUCCGGAUUUAUUGGGCGUAAAGCGAGCGCAGGCGGAAGAAUAAGUCUGAUGUGAAAGCCCUCGGCUUAACCGAGGAACUGCAUCGGAAACUGUUUUUCUUGAGUGCAGAAGAGGAGAGUGGAACUCCAUGUGUAGCGGUGGAAUGCGUAGAUAUAUGGAAGAACACCAGUGGCGAAGGCGGCUCUCUGGUCUGCAACUGACGCUGAGGCUCGAAAGCAUGGGUAGCGAACAGG
RNAcentral lists this ribosomal RNA (253 nucleotides) under uncultured bacterium. RNAcentral describes it as "partial 16S ribosomal RNA". It matches the Rfam family "Bacterial small subunit ribosomal RNA", at positions 524 to 776 of the family's 1533-position model. The record is from RNAcentral.